AAUUAACGCUGGCGGUAUGCAUAACACAUGCAAGUCGAGCGAGAAAGUUCCUUCGGGGAUGAGUAAAGCGGCGCACGGGUGAGUAUCACGUGGGGAUCUGCCUCGCACUCAGGGAUAGCCCACUGAAAAGUGGAUUAAUACCGGAUAGUCCCGCUUCGGCGGGUAAAGAUUUAUCGGUGCGAGAUGAACCUGCGUCCUAUCAGCUAGUUGGUAAGGUAACGGCUUACCAAGGCUAUGACGGGUAGCUGGUCUGAGAGGAUGAUCAGCCACAAUGGGACUGAGACACGGCCCAUACUCCUACGGGAGGCAGCAGUGAGGAAUUUUGCGCAAUGGGGGAAACCCUGACGCAGCAAUACCGCGUGGAGGAUGACGGCUCUUUGGGUUGUAAACUCCUUUUCACUGGGAAGAAAUUUGACUGUACCAGUGGAAUAAGUCACGGCUAACUACG
Molecule: ribosomal RNA, 448 nt
Filed under: uncultured bacterium
Lineage: Bacteria
Description: bacterial SSU rRNA
Rfam family: Bacterial small subunit ribosomal RNA
Source: RNAcentral